Oncorhynchus mykiss (rainbow trout) is the source of this 3927-nucleotide long non-coding RNA. The record is from Ensembl. Lineage: Eukaryota; Metazoa; Chordata; Actinopteri; Salmoniformes; Salmonidae.
AUGAUAUAUUAUAUUGUGAACGUCUCUCAGUAUGAUCAUGGUAUUGUCUCUCUGUUUCACCAGCUGCAGAAUGAUGACCUGCUCAUUACCUGUUCCUCUGGAGAGCCCUCCUCCCUCUUCACUGACACCCCGAGCCCAAUGUCUCUGUUGGCAGAUGACAUUACCCCCCCUGCAGAAUGCGUUGACCUGUCCUUCCUGGAAGAGGCUCUACUGGGGGGGUCUCCCGAGGGAGGGGGGGAGAGAAGUGGGGAGGGAGAGGAAGUGCAGGAGGAAGAGGAAGUACCGCCCUGUGACAUUCUCCAGCAGAGUCUUCAGGAGGCUGACAUCACAGAGCACACUAUGGCUCAGGAGGCAGGGCUCGUCCAAACAGGGCCUGGGGAGGGCCACACCCUGUCUCUCUACACACCUUGCCCCCCACUCCUCCUCCCUCCUGCUGCCGUGCCGUUCCUCUCCAAAACCCUAGCCUUCCCUCACCCCCACCCUGGCCCACACACCCUGCAACACAGGGACACCCAGGCGGCGGUGGAGCCUCCCCAACCAUCCCUGCUGGCCGUGGGACCAGGCUGCCCCUCGCUGAAGCCUGCUGCUCCCCAGCUGAUGGGCCUCCUCCCUGGGAACAUCUUCCCCGCACCCUCGCCAGAGACUUCCUUCUCCCUGACCCCUGCACAGGCCUCCAACACCUCCUUUUCCCUCAUCCAGAAGGCAGUUCCUAGCCUGACAGGGCGCCCCCUACUGGCCCCAACCCUCAGAGCGGCUGCAGCUCCCGGGAUCUUUCUCCAGAGAGGACCCCUGCCCAUCCAGCCCAAGCUGCCUAUCAGCAUCCAACCCCGACUUGUUCAGAUCAGCCCUAAGCCUCCUGGUCCUGGUGGGCCUGGUCAGAAACCCUCUCCAGGUCUCACCUUCCUCCCUGGGACGCCCUCGUCAAACAUUCUCGUGUCCCCCCCUCCUCCCCAGCCCAAGCCUGCCCAACACCUCACCAAGCCCCAUCCCCAACCUGCCCAACACCUCACUGCCCCACACCUCACCAAGCCCCAGCCCGUCAGCCUGCAGCUGGUCAACCAGGGAGGAGGCUCCUUCCUGAUCCAGCCUCAAGGUCUCUUCCAUGGCCAGAAUCAGUUCCUCCUGCCUGGCCAAUCCCCUGUCACCCUGUCCCAGCUCCCUGGCCAAUCCCCUGUCACCCUGUCCCAGCUCCCUGGCCAAUCCCCUGUCACCCUGUCCCAGCUCCCUGGCCAAUCCCCUGUCACCCUGUCCCAGCUCCCUGGCCAAUCUCCUGUCACCCUGUCCCAGCUCCCUGGCCAAUCCCCUGUCAACCUGUCCCAGCUUCCUGGCCAAUCCCCUGUCACCCUGUCCCAGCUCCCUGGCCAAUCCCCUGUCACCCUGUCCCAGCUUCCUGGCGGUUCUGCGCGGCCCCUGUUCACCUCUGGCCACCAGGGCGCAACAGUCCAGUCUGUCCAGGGUAUGACACCCUCCAUGGGCCACCACCUGGUAGAUGGCUCCCAGAUCCUGACGGCCGUGCCUCACCACAGACAGCUCAACUUCAGCCCCCACACAGUCUUCAGCACCACCUCAACAGGCCAGCUCUCCCUCCGCCAGGGAACACUGCUCUCUGGCUCCCUGCAGCUACAGUCAGGGUCGCCUACUGUCUUCCAGAUGCCAGCCCAGUUGGCGGGUGCCUACAAUCCCCAGGGGUCCCAGGGGCAGGGGGGUCCAGGCCAGCAUGCCACCCUGCUCCACAGCCCUGCUCUAGGGAGCCACAUCACCCUGAUGCAGUGAGUGUGAUAUAGAGCCUGAGUCCCAAUUGGCUCCCUAUUCCAUGCAGGGCCUAGUGAAUGUCUACACACCCUUUGCACAGUGGUGUUCAUACUUGGUGGAAGAACCUUUGGCAGCCAUUACAGCUGUGAAUAAUUCUGAAUAAGAUUCUACCGACUAUGCACAACUCUUAGGGCAACAUAUAUAUCCAUUGUUUUUGUCCAAAUUGCUCAAAGCUCAGUAAUUUUGGUUGGGAAUCAUUGAUGGAUAGCAAUAUUUGAACCUUGUCUCUGUUAAAAAAAAUGUAUAUAUAUAUUUAUGUAAAAUCAUCCACUAUGUUUACAACAAGGCCCUUAAGUAAUAAGGCAAAAACAUCAUGGCAAAGACAAUUUUUAUGUCUUAAAUGGAAAAACUUCAAGUUCCCUUUUGUCUGUCAGCCAAUACUAUGGGGAUCGUACUCUCGCGACGCCUGACGAGGCCAAUACUAUGGGCAUCGUACUCUCGUGACGCCUGACAAGGCCAAUACUAUGGGGAUCGUACUCUCGUGACGCCUGACGAGGCCAAUACUAUGGGGAUCGUACUCUCACGACGCCUGACAAGGCCAAUACUAUGGGGAUCGUACUCUCGCGACGCCUGACAAGGCCAAUACUAUGGGGAUCGUACUCUCACGACGCCUGACAAGGCCAAUACUAUGGGGAUCGUACUCUCACGACGCCUGAAAAGGCCAAUACUAUGGGGAUCGUACUCUCACGACGCCUGACAAGGCCAAUACUAUGGGGAUCGUACUCUCACGACGCCUGACAAGGCCAAUACUAUGGGGAUCGUACUCUCACGACGCCUGACAAGGCCGAUACUAUGAGGAUCGUACUCUCGCGACGCCUGACAAGGCCAAUACUAUGGGGAUCGUACUCUCACGACGCCUGAAAAGGCCAAUACUAUGGGGAUCGUACUCUCACGACGCCUGACAAGGCCAAUACUAUGGGGAUCGUACUCUCACGACGCCUGAAAAGGCCAAUACUAUGGGGAUCGUACUCUCACGACGCCUGACAAGGCCAAUACUAUGGGGAUCGUACUCUCACGACGCCUGACAAGGCCAAUACUAUGGGGAUCGUACUCUCACGACGCCUGACAAGGCCGAUACUAUGAGGAUCGUACUCUCGCGACGCCUGACAAGGCCAAUACUAUGGGGAUCGUACUCUCACGACGCCUGACAAGGCCAAUACUAUGGGGAUCGUACUCUCACGACGCCUGACAAGGCCAAUACUAUGGGGAUCGUACUCUCACGACUUCAGUUAAAGGAUUUACAAUCACGCCUGGCCAAUUAAAUCUGUGCCUGGUUGGAACACCGCGCCGUCCACAGGUGAUAGGAGUCUCGGAUUCAUUCCUUCAAUUAUUCCACUCUUCACCUCGGUGUGAACAGGAACGAUUCACGCUAUCAAAAUAAACAAUUGUAGCACGAGACUGUCUUAAUUGCGGCAACUAAACUGUCCCUUAGUGGUAGAGCGAGCGCACCCCCUAAAAUGUUUAGUUUAGAACAAAUUAUUAUUUACAAUGACGGCCUAGGAACAGUGGGUUAAACUGCCUUGUUCAGGGACAGAACGACAGAUGUUUGGGGGAUGACCUUGUCAGCUCGGGGAUUCAAACCAGCCCAGCGCUCUAACCACUAGGUUAUCUGCCUCCCCCCUCUAACCACUAGGUAAUCUACCUUCCCCCUCUAACAACUAGGCUACCUGCCUCCCCCUCUAACCACUAGGCUACCUACCUCCCCCCUCUAACAACUAGGCUACCUGCCUCCCCCUCUAACCACUAGGCUACCUACCUCCCCCUCUAACCACUAGGCUACCUACCUCCCCCUCUAACCACUAGGUUACCUCCCCCUCUAACCACUAGGCUACCUACCUCCCCCUCUAACCACUAGGUUACCUCCCCCUCUAACCACUAGGUUACCUACCUCCCCCCUCUAACCACUAGGCUACCUACCUCCCCCCUCUAACCACUAGGCUACCUCCCCCUCUAACCACUAGGCUACCUACCUCCCCCAUCUAACCACUAGGCUACCUACCUCCCACCUCUAACCACUAAGCUUAACAACUUAACGCUACGUGUAGAAUGCUACCCAAGGAACUCCACUGUCGGGAGGCAGGAAUAGCUGCGCCGCGCGACUAGGGGAACAGUGUC